UGCCAGCCGCCGCGGUAAUACAGAGGGUGCGAGCGUUAAUCGGAAUUACUGGGCGUAAAGGGCGCGUAGGCGGCUUGGUAAGUCGGAUGUGAAAGCCCCGGGCUUAACCUGGGAAUUGCAUUCGAUACUGCCCGGCUAGAGUAUGGUAGAGGAAAGCGGAAUUCCGGGUGUAGCGGUGAAAUGCGUAGAUAUCCGGAGGAACAUCAGUGGCGAAGGCGGCUAACUGGCUCGGUACUGACGCUGAGAUGCGAAAGCGUGGGGAGCAAACAGGAUUAGACA
RNAcentral lists this ribosomal RNA (279 nucleotides) under uncultured bacterium. RNAcentral's name for it is "partial 16S ribosomal RNA". It matches the Rfam family "Bacterial small subunit ribosomal RNA", at positions 506 to 784 of the family's 1533-position model. The record is from RNAcentral.